UACGUAGGGGGCAAGCGUUGUCCGGAUUUAUUGGGCGUAAAGAGCGUGUAGGCGGCUGGGUAGGUCCGUUGUGAAAACUCGAGGCUCAACCUCGAGACGCCGAUGGAAACCCUCCAGCUAGAGUCCGGAAGAGGAGAGUGGAAUUCCUAGUGUAGAGGUGAAAUUCGUAGAUAUUAGGAAGAACACCAGUGGCGAAGGCGGCUCACUGGCCCGGUACUGACGCUGAGGCGCGAAAGCGUGGGGAGCAAACAGG
Molecule: ribosomal RNA, 253 nt
Filed under: uncultured bacterium
Lineage: Bacteria
Description: partial 16S ribosomal RNA
Rfam family: Bacterial small subunit ribosomal RNA
Source: RNAcentral